RNAcentral lists this ribosomal RNA (247 nucleotides) under Listeria monocytogenes. RNAcentral describes it as "partial 16S ribosomal RNA". It matches the Rfam family "Bacterial small subunit ribosomal RNA", at positions 1296 to 1533 of the family's 1533-position model. The record is from RNAcentral. Lineage: Bacteria; Bacillati; Bacillota; Bacilli; Caryophanales; Listeriaceae.
GAUUGUAGGCUGCAACUCGCCUACAUGAAGCCGGAAUCGCUAGUAAUCGUGGAUCAGCAUGCCACGGUGAAUACGUUCCCGGGCCUUGUACACACCGCCCGUCACACCACGAGAGUUUGUAACACCCGAAGUCGGUAGGGUAACCUUUAUGGAGCCAGCCGCCGAAGGUGGGACAGAUAAUUGGGGUGAAGUCGUAACAAGGUAGCCGUAUCGGAAGGUGCGGCUGGAUCACCUCCUUUCUAAGGAA